UGUUGAUGUAAAUUGCAGUAACAAAUUUUAAGGUUCAAACAAGGCCACACACAAGAAGUCAUGCCAGACACAAGAUGUAAAUUGCAGGAUGAAAGGAAAAUAUUCUGCCACCUAUUUGUUACUCGUCACAUGCCAUUGUUCACUUGAACUGAUUCAUGUAAAGGCAGGAGUGAGGAGUAUGUCAGCUUGGGCAUGUGCUUAUGUUCUGUUGAAGUUAGGUGUAACGGCGGUCAUCAGGCUGGUAUUGGCGCGGGGAGCGAGGGUAUGUUGUGGCUAACUGUCUAUGGUGUGCGUAGAGGAGGAGCUACCAAGAUCUGUAUAAGUCAAGCAAUCUUUAUGUUGCACACAAUCUAUUACCCUUUAAAAGAGGGAGUUCAUGAAAAACUUUACCCUCUCCAAAAUAGCCUUCCACCAAAUUUAAUUACCAACAUAUCUUGAAUUCAUAAACCACUCUCCCCUUUCAUCGGUUACGCCUAUAUUCCUCCUCCUUUCAAUUCAUUGAUUACGAACCCUCCUCCGAUCUUCCGUUACCUACAGCAAGUUUUAAAGAUGAAAUCAAUGCAGCAGUUCAUCCGUUACCCUUCUUCUCCGCCAAUCUUCUCUGUUCUUCUGUUACGCCGUCCCACGAUCUUAAGCCAUUAAUCUCCAAAGAUGAUUGUCAUUGCCCUAAUCAUCAACGCUGCGCCUCCGCCAUCAUCUCCUCAGUUGUCAGAAUUUUGGCAUCGGUCAAGGAUUGUCCGAAUUAGGGCUUGCUUCAAGUCUUCAUCUUGCUCCUUUGUCAAAUUCAUCAGACAAAUAUUGACGGGGAACAAGUGAAGGCUGCCAUAAGAGCCCAGCAAGACCAGCAGAUUGACAAUGAGUGGAAUGCUCCAAAACCAAGACAUCUCUCUCUCCUGAAGGGUGCUUUACAACGUGGGAUUGUGAG
Asparagus officinalis (garden asparagus) is the source of this 925-nucleotide long non-coding RNA. RefSeq lists it as uncharacterized. The transcript has 4 exons. The record is from RefSeq and is a predicted model, not a curated record. NCBI's taxonomy places the organism in Eukaryota, Viridiplantae, Streptophyta, Magnoliopsida, Asparagales, Asparagaceae.